Molecule: non-coding RNA, 68 nt
Filed under: Bacteroidota bacterium
Lineage: Bacteria; Pseudomonadati; Bacteroidota
Description: Bacteroidetes bacterium Fluoride sequence
Rfam family: Fluoride riboswitch aptamer (crcB RNA motif)
Source: RNAcentral
GAUAAAAAAGGAAAUGGUGUGCUUCCUUACCCAACCGCUUUCCACAAGCUGAUGACGCCUGAUCAUUA